This 375-nucleotide ribosomal RNA is filed under the name uncultured bacterium. Its description in RNAcentral is "bacterial SSU rRNA". It matches the Rfam family "Bacterial small subunit ribosomal RNA", at positions 523 to 898 of the family's 1533-position model. The record is from RNAcentral.
AUACGUAGGGGGCGAGCGUUGUCCGGAUUUACUGGGCGUAAAGGGUGAGUAGGCGGUUAUAUAUGUCAGGUGUAAAAGGCUAUGGCUUAACUAUAGUAAGCACUUGAAACUGUAUGACUUGAGUGCAGGAGAGGUAAGUGGAAUUCCUAGUGUAGCGGUGAAAUGCGUAGCUAUCAGGAGGAACACCAGAGGCGAAGGCGGUCUUCUAUACCAUUACUGACGCUGAAUUGCGAAGGUGUGGGUAUCAAACAGGAUUAGAUACCCUGGUAGUCCACACAGUAAACGAUGUGCACUAGAUGUUGGGAGUUAUACACUUUCAGUGUCGCAGCAAACGCGUUAAGUGCAUCGCCUGGGGAGUACGAUCGCAAGGUUAAA